GCUUGUCUCAAAGAUUAAGCCAUGCAUGUCUUAGUGUAAAUAACUCUUAUGAAACUGCGAAUGGCUCAUUAAAUCAGUUAUCAAAUACGUGAUGGUCGCCUACUACAUGGAUAACUGUGGUAAUUCUAGAGCUAAUACAUGCACAAAAACCCGACUUCGCAGAAGGGUUGUGUUUAUUAGAUACAGAACCAACCCAGACUCUGUCUGGUUGCUUGGUGAUUCAUGAUAACUGAAUGAAUCGCAUGCUUCGGCGGCGAUAAAUCAUUCAAGUUUCUGACCUAUCAGCUUCCGACGGUAGGGUAUUGGCCUACCGUGGCAAUGACGGGUAACGGAGAAUUAGGGUUCGAUUCCGGAGAGGGAGCCUGAGAAACGGCUACCACAUCUAAGGAAGGCAGCAGG
Molecule: ribosomal RNA, 399 nt
Filed under: uncultured dinoflagellate
Lineage: Eukaryota; Dinophyceae
Description: partial small subunit ribosomal RNA
Rfam family: Eukaryotic small subunit ribosomal RNA
Source: RNAcentral